RNAcentral lists this long non-coding RNA (242 nucleotides) under Salvia miltiorrhiza (redroot sage). RNAcentral's name for it is "long non-coding RNA (SMIL_LNC011042)". Lineage: Eukaryota; Viridiplantae; Streptophyta; Magnoliopsida; Lamiales; Lamiaceae. The record is from RNAcentral.
AAAAAUGUAUUAACAAAUUAAUCACACGAAUUCAGUUAACUAUUUACAAACCUUAGAAUCAGAUGAAGAACUUAGCCAAUCUUGAAUCUUCAAUCCUUGUAGAAAUUUAAUCCAAGCACUAAAAACUAAAAAACAAAGAAAACUAAAAGCUAUGAAAUUGAAAACUAAAGUCUGGGACCCUAGAUAGGUCAACAAAAGACCUAUAUAUAGUCUCAGGGAAAAACCCAGUACAGAAAUAAAAA